UGCAGAUCAGAAACCAAGAAGGAGGUGGUUAGAGAUGAUCUGCAAGAGGCUGGAAAGGAGGAGGGUACUAAUCAGAACUAUGUGAGGGUGACUCUGUGAUCCUGACUCAGGAUAUCUUGAAGGGUAUCACUGUAUCUGCUGUUUGUAGCUGCUCCUACCUGUAGAAUCUGAAGACUUUGCCCCUGACCUGGGAAUAUUCUGGACCAGAACAAGUCUGCUCUCUGUCCAGGUUAAG
Molecule: long non-coding RNA, 235 nt
Filed under: Meriones unguiculatus (Mongolian gerbil)
Lineage: Eukaryota; Metazoa; Chordata; Mammalia; Rodentia; Muridae
Description: lncRNA (ENSMUGG00000025293.1)
Source: RNAcentral